Molecule: ribosomal RNA, 448 nt
Filed under: uncultured bacterium
Lineage: Bacteria
Description: partial 16S ribosomal RNA
Rfam family: Bacterial small subunit ribosomal RNA
Source: RNAcentral
AGCGAACGCUGGCGGCAGGCCUAACACAUACAAGUCGAACGGACCCUUCGGGGUUAGUGGCGGACGGGUGAGUAACACGUGGGAACGUGCCUUUAGGUUCGGAAUAGCUCCUGGAAACGGGUGGUAAUGCCGAAUGUGCCCUUCGGGGGAAAGAUUUAUCGCCUUUAGAGCGGCCCGCGUCUGAUAGCUAGUUGGUGAGGUAAUGGCUCACCAAGGCGACGAUCAGUAGCUGGUCUGAGAGGAUGACCAGCCACAUUGGGACUGAGACACGGCCCAAACUCCUACGGGAGGCAGCAGUGGGGAAUCUUGCGCAAUGGGCGAAGGCCUGACGCAGCCAUGCCGCGUGGAUGAUGAAGGUCUUAGGAUUGUAAAAUCCUUUCACCGGUGAAGAUAAUGACUGUAGCCGGAGAAGAAGCCCCGGCUAACUUCGUGCCAGCCGCCGCCGUAA